UAACGCGUGGGUAACCUGCCUCACACAGGGGGAUAACAGUUGGAAACGACUGCUAAUACCGCAUAAGCGCGCAGCACCGCAUGGUGCAGUGUGAAAAACUCCGGUGGUGUGAGAUGGAUCCGCGUCUGAUUAGCUUGUUGGCGGGGUAACGGCCCACCAAGGCGACGAUCAGUAGCCGGCCUGAGAGGGCGACCGGCCACAUUGGGACUGAGACACGGCCCAG
RNAcentral lists this ribosomal RNA (223 nucleotides) under uncultured bacterium. RNAcentral describes it as "partial 16S ribosomal RNA". It matches the Rfam family "Bacterial small subunit ribosomal RNA", at positions 111 to 334 of the family's 1533-position model. The record is from RNAcentral.